GGACGAACGCUGGCGGCGUGCCUAAUACAUGCAAGUCGAGCGAGCGGAACCAACAGAUUUACUUCGGUAAUGACGUUGGGAAAGCGAGCGGCGGAUGGGUGAGUAACACGUGGGGAACCUGCCCCUAAGUCUGGGAUACCAUUUGGAAACAGGUGCUAAUACCGGAUAAUAAAGCAGAUCGCAUGAUCAGCUUUUGAAAGGCGGCGUAAGCUGUCGCUAAGGGAUGGCCCCGCGGUGCAUUAGCUAGUUGGUAAGGUAACGGCUUACCAAGGCGACGAUGCAUAGCCGAGUUGAGAGACUGACCGGCCACAUUGGGACUGAGACACGGCCCAAACUCCUACGGGAGGCAGCAGUAGGGAAUCUUCCACAAUGGACGCAAGUCUGAUGGAGCAACGUCGCGUGAGUGAAGAAGGUUUUCGGAUCGUAAAGCUCUGUUGUUGGUGAAGAAGGAUAGAGGUAGUAACUGGCCUUUAUUUGACGGUAAUCAACCAGAAAGUCACGGCUAACUACGUG
This 513-nucleotide ribosomal RNA is filed under the name uncultured Lactobacillus sp. RNAcentral describes it as "bacterial SSU rRNA". It matches the Rfam family "Bacterial small subunit ribosomal RNA", at positions 27 to 507 of the family's 1533-position model. Lineage: Bacteria; Bacillati; Bacillota; Bacilli; Lactobacillales; Lactobacillaceae. The record is from RNAcentral.